AGGGAAAGAGGGGGGUAGGCCUAACACAUGCAAGUCGAACGGCAGCACAGUAAGAGCUUGCUCUUACGGGUGGCGAGUGGCGGACGGGUGAGGAAUACAUCGGAAUCUACUUUUUCGUGGGGGAUAACGUAGGGAAACUUACGCUAAUACCGCAUACGACCUACGGGUGAAAGCAGGGGAUCUUCGGACCUUGCGCGAUUGAAUGAGCCGAUGUCGGAUUAGCUAGUUGGCGGGGUAAAGGCCCACCAAGGCGACGAUCCGUAGCUGGUCUGAGAGGAUGAUCAGCCACACUGGAACUGAGACACGGUCCAGACUCCUACGGGAGGCAGCAGUGGGGAAUAUUGGACAAUGGGCGCAAGCCUGAUCCAGCCAUACCGCGUGGGUGAAGAAGGCCUUCGGGUUGUAAAGCCCUUUUGUUGGGAAAGAAAAGCAGCAGGUUAAUACCCCGCUGUUCUGACGGUACCCAAAGAGUAAGCACCGGCUAACUUCGUG
RNAcentral lists this ribosomal RNA (492 nucleotides) under uncultured bacterium. RNAcentral's name for it is "partial 16S ribosomal RNA". It matches the Rfam family "Bacterial small subunit ribosomal RNA", at positions 38 to 507 of the family's 1533-position model. The record is from RNAcentral.